This 408-nucleotide ribosomal RNA is filed under the name uncultured bacterium. RNAcentral's name for it is "bacterial SSU rRNA". It matches the Rfam family "Bacterial small subunit ribosomal RNA", at positions 988 to 1396 of the family's 1533-position model. The record is from RNAcentral.
CGCUCUCGACUUUCUGAGAUAGAUUGGUGCCUUCGGGAACGCAGUGACAGGUGCUGCAUGGCCGUCGUCAGCUCGUGUCGUGAGAUGUUGGGUUAAGUCCCGUAACGAGCGCAACCCCUAUCCCUAGUUGCUAGCAGUUCGGCUGAGAACUCUAGGGAGACUGCCGGUGACAAACCGGAGGAAGGUGGGGAUGACGUCAGGUCAUCAUGGCCCUUACGGCCAGGGCUACACACGUGCUACAAUGGCGCGCACAGAGGGCUGCAAACUCGCGAGGGUAAGCCAAUCUCUUAAAACGCGUCGUAGUCCGGAUCGCAGUCUGCAACUCGACUGCGUGAAGUCGGAAUCGCUAGUAAUCGCGAAUCAGAAUGUCGCGGUGAAUACGUUCCCGGGUCUUAGACACACCGAUAA